AGCAUGCGCUGCUAUAAUGCAGUCGAGCGAACGGAUAAGGAGCUUGCUCCUUUGAAGUUAGCGGCGGACGGGUGAGUAACACGUGGGUAACCUACCUAUAAGACUGGAAUAACUUCGGGAAACCGGAGCUAAUGCCGGAUAACAUUUGGAACCGCAUGGUUCUAAAGUAAAAGAUGGUUUUGCUAUCACUUAUAGAUGGACCCGCGCCGUAUUAGCUAGUUGGUAAGGUAACGGCUUACCAAGGCAACGAUACGUAGCCGACCUGAGAGGGUGAUCGGCCACACUGGAACUGAGACACGGUCCAGACUCCUACGGGAGGCAGCAGUAGGGAAUCUUCCGCAAUGGACGAAAGUCUGACGGAGCAACGCCGCGUGAGUGAUGAAGGUUUUCGGAUCGUAAAACUCUGUUAUUAGGGAAGAACAAAUGUGUAAGUAACUGUGCACAUCUUGACGGUACCUAAUCAGAAAGCCACGGCUAACUACGUGCCAGCAGCCGCGGUAAUACGUAGGUGGCAAGCGUUAUCCGGAAUUAUUGGGCGUAAAGCGCGCGUAGGCGGUUUCUUAAGUCUGAUGUGAAAGCCCACGGCUCAACCGUGGAGGGUCAUUGGAAACUGGGAAACUUGAGUACAGAAGAGGAAAGUGGAAUUCCAUGUGUAGCGGUGAAAUGCGCAGAGAUAUGGAGGAACACCAGUGGCGAAGGCGACUUUCUGGUCUGUAACUGACGCUGAUGUGCGAAAGCGUGGGGAUCAAACAGGAUUAGAUACCCUGGUAGUCCACGCCGUAAACGAUGAGUGCUAAGUGUUAGGGGGUUUCCGCCCCUUAGUGCUGCAGCUAACGCAUUAAGCACUCCGCCUGGGGAGUACGACCGCAAGGUUGAAACUCAAAGGAAUUGACGGGGACCCGCACAAGCGGUGGAGCAUGUGGUUUAAUUCGAGCAACGCGAAGAACCUUACCAAAUCUUGACAUCCUUUGAAACUCUAGAGAUAGAGCCUUCCCCUUCGGGGGACAAAGUGACAGGUGGUGCAUGGUUGUCGUCAGCUCGUGUCGUGAGAUGGUGGGGUAAAGUC
Molecule: ribosomal RNA, 1066 nt
Filed under: Staphylococcus equorum
Lineage: Bacteria; Bacillati; Bacillota; Bacilli; Caryophanales; Staphylococcaceae
Description: bacterial SSU rRNA
Rfam family: Bacterial small subunit ribosomal RNA
Source: RNAcentral